CUGGCGGCGUGCCUAACACAUGCAAGUCGAACGAAGCACUGUGGAAAGAGACUCGGUCAAUUGAAACUUGACUUAGUGGCGGACGGGUGAGUAAUGCAUGAGCAACCUGCCCUGGAGAGGGGGACGAACAGCUGGAAACGGCUGCUAAUACCGCAUGAUGUCAUCGGGAGGCAUCUCCUGGUGACCAAAGAUUUAUCGCUCUGGGAUGGGCUCAUGUCUGAUUAGAUAGUUGGCGGGGUAACGGCCCACCAAGUCUGCGAUCAGUAGCCGGACUGAGAGGUUGAACGGCCACAUUGGGACUGAGAUACGGCCCAGACUCCUACGGGAGGCAGCAGUGGGGAAUAUUGGGCAAUGGGCGCAAGCCUGACCCAGCAACGCCGCGUGAAGGAAGAAGGCUUUCGGGUUGUAAACUUCUUUUAUCAGGGACGAAGAAAGUGACGGUACCUGAUGAAUAAGCCACGGCUAACUACGUGCCAGCCGCAGC
RNAcentral lists this ribosomal RNA (484 nucleotides) under uncultured bacterium. RNAcentral's name for it is "bacterial SSU rRNA". It matches the Rfam family "Bacterial small subunit ribosomal RNA", at positions 36 to 518 of the family's 1533-position model. The record is from RNAcentral.